GAUCCUGGCUCAGGAUGAACGCUAGCUACGGGCUUAACACAUGCAAGUCGAGGGGAAACGAUAUUGGAAGCUUGCUUCCGAUAGGCGUCGACCGGCGCACGGGUGAGUAACGCGUAUCCAACCUGCCCACCACUUGGGGAUAACCUUGCGAAAGUAAGACUAAUACCCAAUGAUAUCUCUAGAAGACAUCUGAAAGAGAUUAAAGAUUCAUCGGUGAUGGAUGGGGAUGCGU
Molecule: ribosomal RNA, 232 nt
Filed under: uncultured bacterium
Lineage: Bacteria
Description: partial 16S ribosomal RNA
Rfam family: Bacterial small subunit ribosomal RNA
Source: RNAcentral